GGAUGAACGCUAGCGACAGGCCUAACACAUGCAAGUCGAGGGGCAGCACAUGAGUAGCAAUACGAUGGUGGCGACCGGCGCACGGGUGAGUAACACGUAUGCAACCUGCCUGUAAGAGGGGAAUAACCCGGAGAAAUUCGGACUAAUACCGCAUAAUACCACGAGACUGCAUGGUUUUGUGGUUAAACAUUUAUGGCUUACAGAUGGGCAUGCGUAUGAUUAGAUAGUUGGUAGGGUAACGGCCUACCAAGUCUACGAUCAUUAGGGGUUCUGAGAGGAAGGUCCCCCACACUGGUACUGAGACACGGACCAGACUCCUACGGGAGGCAGCAGUGAGGAAUAUUGGUCAAUGGGCGAGAGCCUGAACCAGCCAAGUCGCGUGAAGGAAGAAGGUUCUAUGGAUUGUAAACUUCUUUUGCAGGGGAAUAAAGGACGGUACGUGUACUGUUUUGUAUGUACCUUGCGAAUAAGGAUCGGCUAACUCCGUGCCAGCAGCCGCGGUAAUACGGAGGAUCCGAGCGUUAUCCGGAUUUAUUGGGUUUAAAGGGUGCGUAGGCGGCCGAGUAAGUCAGCGGUGAAAUUUUGCAGCUUAACUGUAACAGUGCCGUUGAUACUGCAUGGCUAGGAUUUGGUUGCUGUGGGUGGAAUGUGUGGUGUAGCGGUGAAAUGCUUAGAUAUCACACAGAAUAUCAAUUGCGAAGGCAGCUCACAAAGCNNNGAUUGACGCUGAGGCACGAAAGUGUGGGGAUCAAACAGGAUUAGAUACCCUGGUAGUCCACACUGUAAACGAUGAUAACUCACUGCCGGCGAUACACAGUCGGUGGCCAAGCGAAAGCGAUAAGUUAUCCACCUGGGGAGUACGACCGCAAGGUUGAAACUCAAAGGAAUUGACGGGGGCCCGCACAAGCGGAGGAACAUGUGGUUUAAUUCGAUGAUACGCGAGGAACCUUACCCGGGCUCGAACGGUGCAUGAAUAAGCAAGAGAUUGUUUAGUCCUUCGGGACAUGUAUCGAGGUGCUGCAUGGUUGUCGUCAGCUCGUGCCGUGAGGUGUCGGCUUAAGUGCCAUAACGAGCGCAACCCUUGUUGUUAGUUACCAACAGGUAAAGCUGGGGACUCUAACGAGACUGCCACCGUAAGGUGUGAGGAAGGGGGGGAUGACGUCAAAUCAGCACGGCCCUUAUGUCCGGGGCGACACACGUGUUACAAUGGGGGGUACAGAGGGCAGCCAUCCGGUGACGGAGCGCCAAUCUCCAAAACCCUUCUCAGUUCGGAUUGGAGUCUGCAACCCGACUCCAUGAAGUUGGAUUCGCUAGUAAUCGCGCAUCAGCCAUGGCGCGGUGAAUACGUUCCCGGGCCU
Molecule: ribosomal RNA, 1358 nt
Filed under: uncultured bacterium
Lineage: Bacteria
Description: bacterial SSU rRNA
Rfam family: Bacterial small subunit ribosomal RNA
Source: RNAcentral